UGCAGUCGAACGGGACAGGUCUUCGGAUGCUGACGAGUGGCGAACGGGUGAGUAAUACAUCGGAACGUGCCUAGUAGUGGGGGAUAACUACUCGAAAGAGUAGCUAAUACCGCAUGAGAUCUAAGGAUGAAAGCAGGGGACCUUCGGGCCUUGCGCUACUAGAGCGGCUGAUGGCAGAUUAGGUAGUUGGUGGGAUAAAAGCUUACCAAGCCGACGAUCUGUAGCUGGUCUGAGAGGACGACCAGCCACACUGGAACUGAGACACGGUCCAGACUCCUACGGGAGGCAGCAGUGGGGAAUUUUGGACAAUGGGCGAAAGCCUGAUCCAGCAAUGCCGCGUGUAGGAUGAAGGCCCUCGGGUUGUAAACUACUUUUGUACGGAACGAAAAGACACCUUCUAAUACAGGGUGUCGAUGACGGUACCGUAAUAAUAAGCACCGGCUAACUACGUGCCAGCAGCCGCGGUAAUACGUAGGGUGCAAGCGUUAAUCGGAUUUACUGGGCGUAAAGCGUGCGCAGGCGGUUAUGUAAGACAGAGGUGAAAUCCCCGGGCUCAACCUGGGAACGGCCUUUGUGACUGCAUAGCUAGAGUACGGUAGAGGGGGAUGGAAUUCCGCGUGUA
Molecule: ribosomal RNA, 622 nt
Filed under: Comamonas sp. MYb189
Lineage: Bacteria; Pseudomonadati; Pseudomonadota; Betaproteobacteria; Burkholderiales; Comamonadaceae
Description: bacterial SSU rRNA
Rfam family: Bacterial small subunit ribosomal RNA
Source: RNAcentral